UGUAUUGUGUAGAUAGAAAGUAGUACCUUUAUUUUUCUUUUUUAGAGAGUUCAGGUUGGGUGGAAGCUGAGCAUAGAAUUUAAAGGGAAGGCGUUCUGGAGCAAUUGUUAAAAAGUGGUUAUUCGAUGUAUGGAUGAAUAACAAAUAGGGUGGAACCGCGGAAAUCCCGUCCCUAUA
This 177-nucleotide non-coding RNA is filed under the name Paraliobacillus sp. PM-2. RNAcentral describes it as "T-box". It matches the Rfam family "T-box leader". From Rfam's summary of the family: Uncharged tRNA acts as the effector for transcription antitermination of genes in the T-box leader family. T-boxes are found upstream of many aminoacyl-tRNA synthetase genes and some amino acid biosynthetic genes usually in Gram-positive bacteria. The anticodon of a specific tRNA base pairs to a specifier sequence within the T-box motif, and the NCCA acceptor tail of the tRNA base pairs to a conserved bulge in the T-box antiterminator hairpin. Lineage: Bacteria; Bacillati; Bacillota; Bacilli; Caryophanales; Bacillaceae. RNAcentral also lists the same sequence under 1 other name. The record is from RNAcentral.